This 253-nucleotide ribosomal RNA is filed under the name uncultured bacterium. RNAcentral describes it as "partial 16S ribosomal RNA". It matches the Rfam family "Bacterial small subunit ribosomal RNA", at positions 524 to 776 of the family's 1533-position model. The record is from RNAcentral.
UACGUAGGGUGCAAGCGUUAAUCGGAAUUACUGGGCGUAAAGCGUGCGCAGGCGGUGAUGUAAGACAGAUGUGAAAUCCCCGGGCUUAACCUGGGAACUGCAUUUGUGACUGCAUGGCUAGAGUGCGGCAGAGGGGGAUGGAAUUCCGCGUGUAGCAGUGAAAUGCGUAGAUAUGCGGAGGAACACCGAUGGCGAAGGCAAUCCCCUGGGCCUGCACUGACGCUCAUGCACGAAAGCGUGGGGAGCAAACAGG